AGGGCACCACCAGGAGUGGAGCCUGCGGCUUAAUUUGACUCAACACGGGGGAACUUACCCGGCCUGGACACUGGAAGGAUUGACAGAUUGAGAGCUCUUUCUUGAUUCAGUGGGUGGUGGUGCAUGGCCGUUCUUAGUUGGUGGAGCGAUUUGUCUGGUUAAUUCCGAUAACGAACGAGACUCUAGCCUAUUAAAUAGGCUCUCGGCUUUUAAACGCCGGGAGGACUUCUUAGAGGGACAGGUGGCGGUUCAGCCGCACGAAAGAGAGCAAUAACAGGUCUGUGAUGCCCUUUGUUGUCCGGGGCCGCACGCGCGCUACACUGAAGAGAUCAGCGUGCUUUACGUUCCUGCUCCGACCGGAGUGGGGAACCCAGUGAACCUUCUUCGUGAUUGGGAUAGAAGAUUGUAAUUAUUCUUCUUGAACGAGGAAUUCCCAGUAAAUGCGAGUCAUAAGCUCGCGUUGAUUACGUCCCUGCCCUUUGUACACACCGCCCGUCGCUACUACCGAUUGAACGAUUU
RNAcentral lists this ribosomal RNA (519 nucleotides) under uncultured eukaryote. Its description in RNAcentral is "SSU rRNA". It matches the Rfam family "Eukaryotic small subunit ribosomal RNA", at positions 1161 to 1699 of the family's 1831-position model. The record is from RNAcentral.